This 251-nucleotide ribosomal RNA is filed under the name uncultured bacterium. RNAcentral's name for it is "partial 16S ribosomal RNA". It matches the Rfam family "Bacterial small subunit ribosomal RNA", at positions 524 to 776 of the family's 1533-position model. The record is from RNAcentral.
UACGAAGGGGGCGAGCGUUGUUCGGAAUUACUGGGCGUAAAGGGCGCGCAGGCGGCUCUGAAAGUCAGAUGUGAAAGCCCCGGGCUUAACCUGGGAACUGCAUUUGAUACUCUAGAGCUUGAGUACGGGAGAGGAGAGUGGAAUUCCCAGUGUAGGUGAAAUUCGUAGAUAUUCGGAAGAACACCAGUGGCGAAGGCGACUUACUGGACACAUAUUGACGCUGAGGUGCGAAAGCGUGGGGAGCAAACAGG